GAUGAACGCUGGCGGCGUGCCUAAUACAUGCAAGUAGAACGCUGAAGCUUGGUGCUUGCACCGAGCGGAUGAGUUGCGAACGGGUGAGUAACGCGUAGAUAACCUGCCUCUUAGCGGGGGAUAACUUUUGGAAACGAUAGCUAAUACCGCAUAAUAGUCGAUAUCGCAUGAUAUUGAUUUGAAAGGUGCACAUGCAUCACUAUGUGAUGGACCUGCGUUUUAUUAGCUAGUUGGUGAGGUAACGGCUCAACAAGGCGACGAUACAUUGCCGACCUGAGAGGGUGGACGGCCAAACUUGGACUGGGGAAAGGCCCAGACUCCUACGGGAAGCAGCAGUAGGGGAACUUCGGCAAAGGGGGGAAACCUGGACGGGGAACGCCGGGGGAGGUAAGGAGGUUUUCGGAUCGGAAAGCUCUGUUGUAAGAGAAGGACGAGUGUGGGAGUGGAAAGUUCACACUGUGACGGUAACUAACCAGAAAGGGACGGCUAACUACGUG
This 497-nucleotide ribosomal RNA is filed under the name uncultured bacterium. Its description in RNAcentral is "partial 16S ribosomal RNA". It matches the Rfam family "Bacterial small subunit ribosomal RNA", at positions 28 to 507 of the family's 1533-position model. The record is from RNAcentral.